GCCAACAAAGUGUAUGUACUGUGUUGUUGUUUUAGAAUAACAAUUUGUUUUUCUAAUAUUUUAUAAGGUGUCAGAGAGUGGCAGUGUUCUUGAUGAUCUGGAUCUUCAAAGCUUGGCACUGCAGGUUGGAGAAGCUCUCGUCUCUCAUGUACAGCAGAGAGUGGCAGAGAAGCCUGCAGAGGAAGCACGAUAUGAACUGGAGCAGUUUUUUCAGAGGUCAGAGGUCAAAAGCAACCAAGGAUGGCUUCUGCUUAAAUCAAUAUCUUUCUUGUCCAACAGAGAUACUGAGGUUGGUGUUAUGAUCAAGACGGGCCUGCCUGCGGCGCUAGUCAAAUCUCUGUAUCUGUUUGUAGCUUUGCCUCCCCGAAAAGAGAAUUCUGACUCUUCACCAAAAGAUGUCAAAGAGGAUCUCAAAUGUUCUUUUCAGGACACUCUUAUUCAGGGAUUUUUGCAACUGUGCAGGCAUGUGUGUUUUGUGGAGGUUUUGCUGGAGACCCAGGAGCUGUCGAGUGUGAUCAUCUCUCUCACUCUACUGUGGGAUCAGUGCAGCUCUUCAUGGAGACAGCAGGCGUCUCGAGUCCUCAGAUCAGUGUCUGCGGCACAAGCUCACAACACUGUAUCUGCACUGCAAGGUCAGCAAAGACCAGAACAUUCUUCAUCCAUCCGAAUGUGUCUUAUUAGAUGAUGUUUUUCGCAAUAAAUGGUUUAGGUAAUAGGUCUACGUAAUAUCUAUUUUUAUCAACACAUUUAUUUUGUUUUGGCUAAAUGUGGAUAGGCACUGUAUGAACACUGUCAGAUGACCAUAAUAUUGAUUUACUUUCACAUGAUGCUGAUUUGAGUUACUGAGCUGUGCCAGAUCUCUGAUUGCAUAACAUUUUGGUUUUAGACAUUUACUGAGUGUAGACAGGGUUGCAGUUAAAUGUUGAGCACCCUUUUUGAUGGUCCUUGGUCUAGGACUAGUAGCAAUAGUAGAG
Molecule: long non-coding RNA, 974 nt
Filed under: Danio rerio (zebrafish)
Lineage: Eukaryota; Metazoa; Chordata; Actinopteri; Cypriniformes; Danionidae
Description: lncRNA (ENSDARG00000117551.1)
Source: RNAcentral